RNAcentral lists this long non-coding RNA (404 nucleotides) under Pogona vitticeps (central bearded dragon). RNAcentral's name for it is "lncRNA (ENSPVIG00000018828.1)". The record is from RNAcentral. Lineage: Eukaryota; Metazoa; Chordata; Lepidosauria; Squamata; Agamidae.
GACGGCGCGGCCCCGUCACCCGCUGGGCCGACAGCGCGCUCAACCAAUAGCAACGCCGGUCUUCCCACCGAGGCGGGUUCUGAGCGUGACAUCAUCCCCCCCCGCCUGUCCUCUCGUGCUUGUGAAGUCCGACCGCCUGGGUGGAUAGAGAGGCCUUUUUAAAGAAGAAAGAGCGACCCCUAGACUGGCGUAGCUUGACGUCACCGUCCUUUUCCCACGGGCAUCCACAAUGGCCUAAUUGGCCCGCCCACUUUGGUCGCCGUGGCCAAUGGGAGCGGUUGUAGCGAAGGGAAGCCGAGAUGGAACAGUGUAAUAAGAAAUCGAGGGUUCGAUUCCUGCCUGCUCCAACAUUCUGCAUUGCCUGCAGUUUCUGGAUGGUGUUCAAGCAGAGCUCCACUUCAAGC